RNAcentral lists this ribosomal RNA (472 nucleotides) under uncultured bacterium. RNAcentral describes it as "SSU rRNA". It matches the Rfam family "Bacterial small subunit ribosomal RNA", at positions 26 to 518 of the family's 1533-position model. The record is from RNAcentral.
AGGACGAACGCUUGCGACGUGCCUAAGAAAUGCAAGUCGAACGGGGUCAUCCUUCGGGGUGGCCUAGUGGCGAACGGUCGCGUAACACGUGGGCAACCUGCCCUGAAGCGGGGGACAACACACCGAAAGGUGUGCUAAUACCGCAUGUGAAUCGUGGUGGCAUCACCGAGGAUUCAAAGCCGCAAGGCACUUCAGGAUGGGCCCGCGGCCUAUCAGCUAGUUGGUGAGGUAACGGCCCACCAAGGCUUCGACGGGUAGCUGGUCUGAGAGGACGAUCAGCCGGAUUGGGACUGAGAUACGGCCCAGACUCCUACGGGGGCAGCAAUUAGGAAUCUUGCACAAUGGGCGAAAGCCUGAUGCAGCGACGUCGCGUGAAGGAUGAAAUCUUUCGGGAUGUAAACUUCUUUUAACGGGGAAGAAAAAAUGACGGUACCCGUUGAAUAAGCCCGGCUAACUACGUGCCAGCAGCCGC